AAGAGACAGCAGCAGCCGCGGGAAUACGGAGGGUGCAAGCGUUAAUCGGAAUUACUGGGCGUAAAGCGCACGCAGGCGGUCUGUCAAGUCAGAUGUGAAAUCCCCGGGCUUAACCUGGGAACUGCAUUUGAAACUGGCAGGCUAGAGUCUUGUAGAGGGGGGUAGAAUUCCAGGUGUAGCGGUGAAAUGCGUAGAGAUCUGGAGGAAUACCGAUGGCGAAGGCAGCCCCCUGGGCCAAUACUGACGCUCAUGCGCGAAAGCGUGGGGAGCAAACAGGAUUAGAUACCCCAGUAGUCCCUGUCUCUUAUAC
Molecule: ribosomal RNA, 310 nt
Filed under: uncultured bacterium
Lineage: Bacteria
Description: partial 16S ribosomal RNA
Rfam family: Bacterial small subunit ribosomal RNA
Source: RNAcentral